Molecule: long non-coding RNA, 439 nt
Organism: Gorilla gorilla gorilla (western lowland gorilla)
Lineage: Eukaryota; Metazoa; Chordata; Mammalia; Primates; Hominidae
Exons: 4
Source: RefSeq, a predicted model, not a curated record
GUUAGUUAGAGGUGGUGUCACACAUGGUGUCCGUAAACUCCUCUGAGCAGAAGUCCAGACUCCUUCUACAUCUGUUGUUCAAGGUUCAGACUCAAUAUGCAACUAAUUUAUGAAGCCCAUUUAGACGACAACAACCCUGAUGCAAGAUGUUCUCCACUAUGUUAAGAUGCAGCAUGAAGCCCUUACCAGAAGCUAAGAGUAUUCCGUUAGAGCAACACAAAACAGACUAAGACAACUUGUUCAUUACUGAUGUAUAGUCUGGAUCUGCUGUGAAAUAGCUGCCAACGUGAACAUGCAAGAAUUUUAUUAAGAGAAAUGCCUGUGAGAAAAAAUGGGAGGGAACCAGGGAGCCUGACAGAAGUCUGACUAUUACCGGCAAGGGGUCCUGAUCUAGGCUCUAAGAGAAGGUUCUUGGAUCUCACACUAGAAAGAAUUUAAG